RNAcentral lists this ribosomal RNA (492 nucleotides) under uncultured bacterium. RNAcentral's name for it is "partial 16S ribosomal RNA". It matches the Rfam family "Bacterial small subunit ribosomal RNA", at positions 29 to 507 of the family's 1533-position model. The record is from RNAcentral.
AGUGAACGCUGGCGGUAGGCCUAACACAUGCAAGUCGAGCGGCAGCACAGUAAGAGCUUGCUCUUACGGGUGGCGAGUGGCGGACGGGUGAGGAAUACAUCGGAAUCUACUUUUUCGUGGGGGAUAACGUAGGGAAACUUACGCUAAUACCGCAUACGAUCUACGGGUGAAAGCAGGGGAUCUUCGGACCUUGCGCGAUUGAAUGAGCCGAUGUGGGAUUAGCUAGUUGGGGGGGUAAAGGCCCACCAAGGCGCCGAUCCGUGGCUGGUCUGAGAGGAUGAUCAGCCACACGGGAACAGAGACACGGACCAGACUCCUACGGGAGGCACCAGUGGGGAAUAUUGGACAAUAGGCGCAAGCCUGAUCCAGCCAUACCGCGUGGGUGAAGAAGGCCUUCGGGCUGUAAAGCCCUUUUGUUGGGAAAGAAAAGCAGCAGGUUAAUACCCCGCUGUUCUGACGGUACCCAAAGAAUAAGCACCGGCUAACUUCGUG